AGGAGACCAAGAUGAUCAUUUCUCCUCACAGAGUCACCUGGCACAUGAGUACUGUUGAAUGUCCCUCAAGGUGACCAGCUGACUCUCUCAGUAGGAGGCAUUCACCUCCUCCGCCCUCUUUCCCUCUGGCUCCACCCCAGGCUGCUGGAAAGUGCACCAGACUCUGAUCGGAAGCUGGCAGCUGCCAAGAGCCUCGUCAUGAGGUGGAAUUUCCAAGCUCCCUCCGGUCGGUCACCGAGUUAUCCUAGUUCCUGAAAUUCCUGACUCCAAUUUCUCAGCCGUUGCCGUGAUCGCUUUUUCCCAUUUCUGGUUAGGUUUGUUUGUAUGUGUGUGUGUUUUUCCUUUUCACUGUAUUUUUAGACUUGGGAAAAAUAAACAGUUCACACACUA
Camelus dromedarius (Arabian camel) is the source of this 390-nucleotide long non-coding RNA. RefSeq lists it as uncharacterized. The transcript is spliced from 2 exons. NCBI's taxonomy places the organism in Eukaryota, Metazoa, Chordata, Mammalia, Artiodactyla, Camelidae. The record is from RefSeq and is a predicted model, not a curated record.